This 381-nucleotide unclassified non-coding RNA is filed under the name fungal sp. RNAcentral describes it as "partial internal transcribed spacer region". The stretch from base 1 to 46 matches the Rfam family "Eukaryotic small subunit ribosomal RNA", at positions 1786 to 1831 of the family's 1831-position model. Lineage: Eukaryota; Fungi. The record is from RNAcentral.
AAGUCGUAACAAGGUUUCCGUAGGUGAACCUGCGGAAGGAUCAUUAACACGUAUCCAAACGUUAAACCCCCCUGUGAACCUUCAGUGUACUCGUACGUCCGUUAGAAAAAGCAGCAAUCCCUGGUAAAUCAUCGCCGAACAGUUUUCGAUUCAGGGACGUCUGCAAGGAGCGUGCAUGUUGUGCGAAGCAAGUGGCCUGGCAUCCCCAAGCAGUUAGUGUCUGAAAGUGUCAUUAACUGUGUAAGGAUGACGCAGUCACGAUCGUUGGAACCGGGUCACUGGGCGCAAGCCCCCCUAUAACAAACGCUGCCAAUCGCGGCCGCGAUAAUACGCAGUCGACAAAAAACCGAACAACUGUUAACAAUGGAUAUCUUGGUUCUC